UAGUUACAUGAAUGUUAACAUGUUGAACUUCUUUUUUCCUUUUAAAUUUAGCAUGACUGGGUAAAUUACAAGAAUUACUUCAUUAAGGAUAUUUUUAUUACGACUAAAACUAAGUGACUUUGCUUGGGAACACUAGGGUAACAUGAAAUUUUAGGGAAAGAAUUUCAUAUUAUCUGUCAUGUAAAAGUCCUUGGUAAGUUUUCAUACUUUCUGUGUUCAGUCACAAGUGCUCUGUGCAUCAAGAUUCUUAGGUUGGUUGAAUCUCCUGCUAGGAAAGCUUUAUGAAGGUGUUAAUUGACCUCAACUUCUCAUUAGUGCCAUUUAUAAGUAGAUGAGGUUGUCAACUAGUUGCUAGAGGUUGUUGGUGUCUCUGCUGCUAAUUAUUUCGUUGCCCUUGCAACGGAAAAGCACCUUAUAAGAAAACCAUCAAGCAGCCUUUUCUUUUGGUGCUUCUUUGUUGAGUGUACGUGUAGCGCAUGUUUGCACAGGUAUUAAUUGUUAGUCAUCUUAUUAACGCAAUUUGUGGUUAAAAAGUAUGUCUAUUAACCCAAGUCAACUAUCGCAAUGCUUCUUUUUCAGUGUAUGUUAGGGUUUGUGUUUCACAUGCGUUCUUCUUUGAUUAACUUCAUCAAAAGCUCACUUACUAACUUUCAACCAAUUCUCUUAAUACUGUUCUUUUUGAGUGUCCAUUACCCAUUUGUGGUUAGAAGUUUUGCCUAUUCAACUGGAGCCAACUCUUCUGUUGGAGUUGUCGGUAAGGGUGUUUCCACAGGUACUAAUUGACAUAAACUUCAUAUUUGUAGGGCCAUUUGUGAUUCCAUCAACUGCAGCCAACUUUAUCUUUCAGCGUAGGUAUCAGACAUACAAGAGUUUGACAAAUCUGUAUGGUUCACAUCAUUCCAACGUGAGUUAGGAAGGAUAUUAGAGAUAUGAUGUUCUUGGAUUUGAAGAACAUUCCCCGUCAAGUUUUUUCUUUGGCUGGCAUUUUGAUGAUGUGCAAGUACUUUUAUGGUCAACUUUAUACUGCUUGAAUUUUCAAAUGAAAGCCGAACUUAGCUCACCAAGUAAUUUACAUAUUUCAAUUAGUUUUCUCAUGGAUUUGGAACUGUAGGGUAUGGUUACGGACUGUCUUUUGGUUUAUUGUAUCAGUAAGAAAUGGAGGGAGGGCGCCCCACUGAAUAGAACUGGGGUAGGUUCAUUCCCAAUGUUACUACUACAUGUCCAAAUGAUGGCAUCGUGCAGCGGUAGUAUCAAUGUUUGCUACACCCACUGUAGACACUUGCUAUUAUGAUUUUGGCCUACCAUCCUUACGAUCUCCUGUUUGUCCUCCUCUAUUUUGUUCCGUCUUCCGUAACCCUGAUGGGAAUAUGCUCGUUGUUAAAAAUGUAGCUGAAAUGAGUCGAUGCAUCUUCCUUCGUCUUGGCCUCUCGUCGUGGGUUAUCCAAACCAACGUUGUCGUGGUUGUGAACGUCGUGCUUUUUUGAUGCCGCUCCCUGCUUUCUCUCUCGGAGUAAAAAAGGAAAUCAAGGAGACUCAGAAACCUUCCUCACCUCGCCUUCUUCUUUGUGUGAAGGCAUCUCCUCCUCCCUCACGAUCCGGAAGCAUUGGUUUGGAAGAUGAGAGGCGCUUGGCGGUUCCUCUUUCUGGUUCUUCUUCGACUCCUUCCUCUCCAUGUUCAUGGCGAUGGCGAAGGUGACUGCUCCACCGACGACGAAGGCCGCGACAAGAAGAAGGCCCUUCCGCUCAAGAUCGCAGCGAUAGUUUCCAUCCUGGUUUGUGGUGGCAUCGGGGUGGGUGUUCCCGUGCUUGGCAUGUGGAUACAGUCGCUUCGUCCGGAGAAGGACAUCUUCUUCGUCAUCAAAGCUUUUGCCGCCGGAGUCAUUCUGGCCACCGGCUUCAUCCACAUAUUGCCGGAUGCGUUCGAGACCCUGACCUCCUCAUGUCUGGCCGCGAGUCCUUGGCAGGACUUUCUGUUCGCGGGGUUCUGCGCGAUGGUCGGCGCUAUCUGGACGCUGAUGGUGGACACUCUCGCCACCGGAUACUUCAGCCGAUUAAACGGUGACAGAUUGCUGCCGACUUCAUUGAGCGAAGCCACGAAUGGCGAUGUGGAGGCAACUCACGAUCACACCCAUGGUGCCGCUGUGAUGCAGCCGGAGGAUUCUUCGGCCCAGCUCAUCCGACAUCGUGUUGUUUCUCAGGUAAGGAACCGAUGCUUCACCUUGUGCCUUCACAAACCUUGUCGAUGUACCGCGAAUUAACGAUAACCGCGAGCUAGGUUUUGGAGCUCGGGAUCGUGGUGCAUUCUGUGAUCAUCGGGAUCUCUUUGGGGGCAUCGGAGCCUCCAUCCACCAUACGACCACUGGUAGCUGCUCUCAGUUUCCAUCAGUUCUUCGAAGGCAUGGGUCUCGGAGGCUGUAUCGUUCAGGUACGCUUAUUUUGCUGCAUGAAUAGCUGCUUCUUCUUCUUCUUCCUCCUUGGAAAUAUUACUCUUCUGGAGUUCCUUCUCGUUGCAGGCAAGGUUCGAGUUCAAGGCAAUGGUGACAAUGGGGCUCUUCUUUUCGCUCACGACUCCGGUUGGGAUCGCCAUCGGCACUGGGAUAUCAUCCGUGUACAACGAGAACAGCCCUACUGCAUUGAUCGUUCAAGGACUUCUGGACUCUGUCAUCCGUAACUCGAUGACUUCACCGAUGCCUCUGCAUGGACGUGUGACUUUUGUCGUAUUCCUGAUCACAUGCAUUACGUGCACCAUGUUUGCCGCCUGAGAGGAAUAGGAGAGAGCCAACGCAGAGUGGGAACAGAGACUCCCGACGCAGUCGAUUCGAGGCCGCCACAGAGAUGCUGGCUGCCCACCACCCAGAAGCUGACCAGGUGGCACUCCUCGUCGAGGAUCUCGACGAGCUUGCGGUUGGUCAGCGCCGGCAGGCCCGAUACGAGAUGGACGUCGCCGUCGAUCACGUGGCAGCUCUUUACGAAUUACUUGUAGGCCUGCAGCCGGUCGAAACGCCGCACCACCGACCGCACGGUGGCCACGCGCGCUCACGGACGGCGCACCUCCCCUGAGGCUGUUCCUGGAGUGGGUCUGCGACCGAUGCGAUGGUGCGGAGGGAAGGAUGGAGUGCGGCAUGGCAACUGGGUUUGGCUUGGAGGGCUCAUGGAACUUGCAUGAUUGCUCCCAUUGCCAUUGAGCUUCCUUCUCAUGUAUCAAUCACGAAUCUUGACACACUCGUUUGUUGCAAUAAUUAAAAUUAAUGGACUUAUAGGAACUACAUGAUCCUGAGUUAUUACUCCUCUUAUAGAUCAUCGCUACAAAGUCUCCACUAAUUUUAGCAAGAUCACAGCUGAUUUGAAAGUAUAGCGUAUGUAUGAUGAAGUGUGAAGACUAAAUAUUUAAUGCUAAGAGGAGAGCCACAGAGGAUCCACGAAAUCACAGCCUACAAAUCCAGCAGGGGAAGUGAAAUCUGUAGGUCAUAAGCAUCAAUCCAUUCAUGUCCUUUAAAGCAGCCCUACUGGUCAAGAACUCAAAAGCCCAUGAAGCUGCAGGCUCAGCGUCAUCACAUCGGUGGCCACAGACACAGGCACAGUGAUGUGAUGUACAGCUGCUACAAUAACCUGGGGACACUGCUCUCCAAAGUUAGGUUAGGAUGGAGCCCGUAAACUUUGGCAGGGAUAGGGUGUCAGCUUUAGUGCGCAGGAAGAAGGGAGAGCCGAGAGCGGACGAAAGGGAGUGUCCUUUAGCCAUUUAAGAGAGCCCUCGGAACCGGUGACCGGGAGCGACGAGGAGGAAGAGGGUAGGAGAAAGACGUUGAGGCACUCCAAGUUCCGAGGGCCGAGUGGUGGUGGUGCUUCUGCACCAGUUAAACCUAGGUUUCCUCUGUAACUAAGACUGCCCUAAUCCUCAUUCAAGUGCCAUUCGACGUUCGGUCAAGCUCCUACCGGUGAAUCCUGACAUGUAUAUACCUCAAGCAUCUGAAGAAAUGCCCAGAGCCGAUGGCCACUGCGCUGCUGCACAGUCCAAGAACUACUUCACAUGAAGGAAACAGUGAAAGGAAAGCUACACUACCGCCAGAGAUUAGUCUGCAACCUGUGGAAAUGAUUGGUGGAGCUUUAUUUUCCCACCAACUCACCUAAUGCCUGCACAGGCCAUUAAAUUCGGCAUAUAAAGGCUGGAGAAGCUGAGUUCCUUUCUAACAAAGCUAUGCCACCCACCCGAGUACAUAUCCAACUAUAAAUUCACCCCAGUAGCCCCAAGGUUUCCCCAUCCCUCUCUCUCUGUCUCUCUCUCUCUCUCUCGCUCUCGGUGGGUUGACGAGGCAAAAGUAAGGAAGAAUCUGUAAAGCUCAGGAGGGAUAGCGCCAUGGACGAUGAGGAACAUGAAUUCUGAAACCAUUUGGUGGUUCUGCUUUCGAGUCUAAUGCGCUAUCUAUCCUGAGUUCUAUGGGUUCUUCGUACUACUACUACUCUAGGAGGAGUUUGAUGCGUGGGGAAUGCGUAGUAUCAUCCUCUCUUAUUCUCAUCCACUUCCGCAUAUUAUUCUACGCUUUCCAUUUGCCAGCAGCAGUUGGUUUCUUCUCACACCAAAACUAGUAGCUACGUCACCAUUCUCACUACGAAGCUUCCCAAGCUGCUUGUUUCCUUCUCAACAUAUGGUAAGGUACACCUUCAUACCAGUUCAAGGUACGUAACAGGAUGUGAAUUGCGUUCUCCUUCAACCCUUCUCUUUCUCUCUCUCUAUGCUUUAUUCAUCGAGUAGCCAAGCAUUUCCGUAGACCUGGUUCCGUGUUUUAGCAGAUAUCCUCGGAAAGGGAAGUGCAAUUGACCUCUGAUCCCACAGCUCUAAAGGAAACGUUAGAUGCAAACAUACACCCAGAAGACGAGGCUGGGCAGCGGAUGAUGCCUCCAAGCAGAAAACUAAGGGCAAGGUGCGGACAUAAUUCAACCGAGUACGAUCGCACAAGUCACGAGAUACGGAGGUGGAAAUUAAUAGCAGCAGAGAAAAUGGCAGCCGCCUGAGCGAAUACAGAGACGGCCGUAUAAUCUCCUGCCACUGCGAAUGCGGCAGCAUGUCAUAUGCAUUAACGAGCUGCCACUCUUUCACCGUCACCGCAUGCGUCGUAUAUGUUAAUAUUCUGUCAAUAUCGCACUGUCACAAAACAAAAACCUUGAAACUGUUCAUGACGAGUGUGGUAAAAAUAUAAGAUUUACCAGCGCAGGGUACGGACGGCUCUCACCGCAUGCAAAUCAUGAGAUGCAGACGACUCCUCUUUCCGAACACAGUGAUAGUGUCCCCUUUUCAUUUAAUCCGAGUCGAAAAAUAUUUGGGGAAAGUUCUUCUUCUCUAUUACGUUUAUCAUUCAUGAAUCCAACACGAAAUGGGAACGAUGACGAAGAAAGCAGUUCUUGCUUCGAGAUAUUGACUUUCCCGAAUCAAAAAGCUAUCAGUGCGAUUCGUCGUCCACCGCACCUCUCGGAUGAGACGAAGCAAGCAAUCCUUAUAGCUCCCUACUUGGAAACCAUUUAUGAUCUUUGGCGCAUGCUUUCCUCUCUUUUUCCACGGAUAUGCAUGCAAGCUGGACUAAUGAAUCUACAUAAAGGUUUUGCGUGAAGGACGAAUCAAUCUAUUGUGAUAGGAAUUCGGGAUAUGGAGGAAUUAAUGGAAAGAAUAAAUCAAAGUUGCAUAAAAUAAAUCGAUCCAAUUUUCUAAUAUAGUGAUAGAUUAUUUAAAUAUCCUUAACAUUAUUUUUUAUAUUAAAUAUAAUUAAUUAAUUAAUUAAGUAAUUAAUAUUUUUAAAUUAUUCAUUUAAGAGGGCAUUUAUGUUAAUAAAAAUGAGAUUGACGUGAGAAAUAAAUUAAAAUCAACUCGGUUUUACAUAAUUAUCAUAAUGUUUAUGUUUCUAAUAUUAGUUGAUAUUUUAAAUUUUUUUUAUUAAAUAUGCGAUCCGAUUCUCAUGAAGUAGAAGAAAAAUAAACAUAAUUGAAUUAAGGUACUUAGAAUGAAUUUAAGACUCCAAAUCCCAUGAGCAACAAAGCUCACCAUGUCCUAAUGUUAAUCUAGCAUACAGAUUGAUCCAAUGGAAAACAUUGACUUUUACUCCAGAAUUUAAUUGACAAGUGAAAUUAAUUCCACACAAAAUCGGAACCACAAGGAAUAAUAUUUCCUUAAUUUGUUAUAUUUGGAACAUUAUCCCAUCAUUUACUUAGUAGGAUUCAGUUGGUGUCAUGGCACAGUUGUUUGUUUCCUUUCCUUGUAGGAAUAAGAUAUCCUUUCCUUGCACACAAUGUUCUUAACCUAAUUAUCAGAUGGUUAAUCGAUACCCUUUCCACUCAACCGAUGAUCAAUCAACCUUGAUAUGGUGUCUUCACGGCGGAUCCGAAUGAGAUAUGGAUUAACAGGUGAAUAAACGAUCAAAUAAUCCUCCCCUCUUCAACCUUAUCCACACUCCCGAGUAUAUAACCUCGCAUGCAUGCACCCAAGCUUUGGUCCGGUGACAAGCAUGGCACGCUUCCUCCUUCACUUGCUCCUCUUCUUCUCCUCCCUCUUCUUCGACUUCACCGCCUCCGCUGACAACGGCACCCGUGCACCCGACUUCUCCGCCGUCCUGUACUUCGGUGACUCCACGCUGGACACCGGAAACAAUGGCUACAUCCUCACGUUGGUCAGGGGCAACCAUCCCCCUUACGGCCGGGACUUCCCGGGAAGCGUUGCGACAGGGAGGUUCUCCAAUGGCCUGCUUGUGCCCGACCUUCUUUGCUCCGAGCUCGAGAUCAAGCAGCUGUCGCCGCCGUUCAUGGACCCGAAUCUCUCGGACGACGACAUCCGCACGGGCGUCAACUUCGCUUCGGCCGGGUCGGGGUUCGACGACGCGACCUCGGCUCUCCUGAACACGAUCCCCAUAUCGAGGCAAUUGGAAAUGUUCGAGGAGUACCUCGCCAGGCUCAAAGCUGUUGCUGGGGAGGAGGACGCCAAAAGAAUCGUAAGCGACGCUUUGUUCCUCGUCAGUGCGGGAACCAAUGACUUCCUGUUGAACUACUAUGACCUGCCCACCACCACCAGGACUGCGAUGACCAUAGAUGAGUACCAGGAUUUCCUGCUCCAAAACCUCCACAAGUUUCUCAAGGUAAUCGAUGCUUUCCAUCGCAAGCACUUCGUAGUCGAUUCCUUGUUCAUUUGCUGUUUCAUGCAUGCAGGAUAGCUAUGAUCUCGGAGGCCGUAGGUUCAUAGUCGUUGGCCUUCCUCCGAUCGGGUGCUUACCGCUCCAAAUGACGCUAAGCGUGGUUCAUUCUGUCGUCCGGACGUGCGUCGAUGAGCAGAACUCAGAUGCGCGGCACUACAAUUCCAAGCUCAAGCACCUUCUGCUCAAGACCCAGCAAUCUCUUCCCGGGAGCAAGUUUGUCUACCUCGACUUGUAUGACUUCUUGAUGGAGGUCCUCAACAAUGCAGCCAAGCAUGGUAAGCCGACCUGCAUCACUUCUCCCUCUCGAUCAAACAGAACGACCAGCUUGGAGUUCGAGUAACUCUACCUAACGCUGUCGAAAUGUGCUCUGGUUCGAUUCAGGUUUCCAUGAAACCAAGAGAGGAUGUUGCGGGACGGGGCUGUUCGAAGUAGGUCCUCUUUGCAACCGGUUGAACCCAGCUUGCCCGGACGCGUCGAGAUUUGUGUUUUAUGAUGCCAUCCAUCCGUCGCAGAGAUUUUAUGAGUUGAUCACCGACUACGUUGUGGAGGACAUCAUUCCACAUUUGCGACGACGAGUGUGAUUAACGAGCCUGUCAUCGAGUCCAUUCAUCUUUGACCCGUUUCGCUCUAUAACAAACGUUUCCAUUGUGAUACGUGUGGGCAACGUCUGUAGUUAUGGCGCUUUUGUGCAACACAAGUCCACUUAGUUCGUGUGUAGCUCUCGCUGACAUUAGUUUAUUUAUGAUGCUCCUCGGAGCAGAGUACCGACGCGAACCGCCGACCGCACUCUUCUUGCGUUUAUAUCGAAAUGACGCUUUACCCCACGACUAGAGCGCUUCCGAGAUCUACAAGUAGUUCACCGGAAGGCCUCCCGCGAAGUGAAGCUUUACCCCACGACUAGAGCGCUUCCGAGAUCUACAAGUAGUUCACCGGAAGUUCUCCCGCCGGAGAUGAUGUCUUCCGCCCCCUCCCUGCCUCCCCUCCCCAUCUCAAACCCACCUGCCGCCUCCGCCGCCCCCGUCGCCCCCUCCUCCGCCGCCCCCGUCGCCACUCCCGCCUUCCGCCUCUUCCUCUCCCGCCUCUCGGACUCCGUCGGCCGCUCCCUCUCCAACCGCCGCCCCUGGUCGGAACUCGCCGACCGAUCUGCCUUCUCCCGUCCGGAUUCCCUCUCCGACGCCUCCUACCGCCUGCGCAAGAACCUCACCUACUUCCGCGUCAACUACGCCGCUGUCGUCGCCGCCGUCCUCGCCAUCUCCCUCAUCACCAACCCCUUCUCUCUCGUCGUUCUCCUCGCCCUCCUCGCCGCCUGGUGUCUCCUCUACCUAUUCCGCCCCUCAGAUCCGCCGCUCGUCAUCCUUGGCCGGACCUUCUCGGAUCGCGAGACCCUCGGCAGUCUUGUCCUCAUCACCGUUUUCGUAGUCUUCCUCACCUCCGUCGGGUCGCUUCUGAUCUCAGCCCUGGUCGCCGGUGCUGCCAUCGUCGGCGCCCAUGGGGCUUUCCGGGUGCCGGAGGAUCUUUUCCUCGAUGAACAGGAAACGGGCGCUGCCAGCAGUCUCUUAUCCUUUCUUGGAGGAGCCGCCUCGGCUGGACCUGCCGUCGUCGCCGCUGCCCGUGUCUGAUCUACCAAUCUACAGCUCUCAACUGCGCCGAGGUUCUUGAUUUCUUGUUAUCUUGUUCUUCCUCUCUCUUGUUUGUAUGAAACAAAAGUAUAUUCCAUUGAUAUGUUCCACGGUUUCUUUCAGCAAUGUCUUUUGUUCUAUAUACAGACGACAUCAGACUAAAUGUUCUUGUUACUUUAUGUGGUUAUCGAUGCAUACAGUAUGUUACACCUUAGAUCUAUGGAAGAAUUGUAUGAUCUAAUCUCUUCGGUAUGCAUUGGGUGUCAUAAUUAGAUCUGGAUCUCCUUAUUUCAUCUUGACAUUCUGUUUUUUAGGUAUGAGAUCGAUCUGACUACUAUGUUUUGUAGGGGGUGUCAAGAGUUCUCAGAUCUGAAAGAAAUUAAUUUACAUUUCAGAAUCUAGUAAGCAGAUUCUGCCUUGUAGAGUUCAUUUUGGUGCAAUUAUGUUUUGGUUGUCUUCAGAUGCUAGAUAGUAGAGAGUUGGUAUAUCAGAUCUAUUGCUGGAGAAGUUCUUUGUUGCUUCUGUAUUGAGUUUCACAAAUUCUUUUUUAUCUUUGUGUGGAUGGAUGUUAAUUGUUGACAAAUUUAGAAAUCAAUAAUGCAUUUAGAAUAACCUUUUAUUUAUGUUGUUCUACUGGAUAAGGGGAAGCUGCUAUAAUUUGUGAAUAUCUUAAAUGAUAUUACACUGAUUUUUUGCCAGUUGAUUAGACAGCAAAAAUUCUAGGAGAUCACUGCUUAGGCAUUCAGUUCAGUUUUAGUCUUAGUCUUGUUUUGAUAAGAGACCCUACAUGGUUAUUCAAUAAGGAGGCACCGGAGGUUGGUUCUUUAUGCAUAGUUAUCUAGUGAGGAGGCGAUAGAGGCUUUUCCGUAAGUGUUUAUUCAAUAAUACUCUCGUGCCCUACUUAAGAUCUUUUGAGCUAGCAUCUCUAAAUUAGUCCUUUUAAGUCUCCUCUUACUGAGAUGAAAAUGUUGAGGUAGGCACGUGAAGUUACUGGAAAAGAUAAGAACAGAAAUAUUCUUGUUUGUGAAUAAUUAGUAUUAUGAAUCACCUUAAGAUGAUGUGAACAUGUUAUAGGAGGAAUUUUUGAUGUUUUGGCUGGACAAGAUGGGACAACUAGUAUUUGUGGUGAAAGGAAAGAGGAAAGAAUCUAAGACUUCUCUGGGAAUUAUUGAUGUAUACUAGGAAUUAGUAUUAGUGGUGAAAGGAAAGAGGAAAGAGACUCAAGACUUAUCUAGGGAUUAUAUUAAAAAAUUGAAUGGUAUUGAUUUAACUAAGAUGAAAAGAGAGUUAAGAAGACUUAUCUUGGAAUUAUUGAUUUAACUAAAAAUACAGAACUCAGUAGUGGAAAAAGAGUCCAUGUAGUACUGUCAAUCUCAAAUAGUUGGGACAUUAGUUCUUUUAUUGUUGUUCUACCUACGGUGUGUGCACAUGCUUGUGAUUUUUUUGUGCCUGAAGUAGUUUCUCUAUAUCCCUAUGUAUCUGGGACUUAUUAUAUGGAUGCAUCUCCAUUAUCGAAAUACUUCUUUUCUCUCUUUUUUUUUUUUCGUUCAAUUCAAGUUCUUAUGAUAACACUUUUAUGCAUCACCAUAACAUAAUGCAUACAUCUACACCUGACAGGAGAGAUAGCUACAUGGUUUGGUCAAAUAAAUUUCAGUUUAUCUUCUUUGUUAAUGCUUUGUUGCUUUUUUCUUCCAUUCAUGAGGAAAUCCGGUUGAGACAUCAGACUUUGUGAUUAGCUGCAUAGUUUGUCUCUGCUGUUUUGCUCCAUUGGGCAUUAUCAGGUUGAAGCAUUAUUUACAUGACUUUCACAAAAAGAGAUCCUACCAACUAGGUCCGUGGAGUUCGGAUUCUUGUAUUAUCAUGUUAACUUUAAAUCUCAUUUUGACGUGACCAUGUAAACCUAUGGAUGACAUCUUUUAAAUCUUUUUGGGAAGUUAGAUACUAUUGAAAUAAGGAUAAAUUAUGUAUUUUCCUUCGUUGGUUACCAAUAUCCUGAUUGGAUAGAUGGAACUUUUGUACGCAUAUCGUGCUACUGCAAAUUACAAGAAUUUGUAGGGGGUACAAUCUAAGGAUUGAAAUUUUAUACCGUAUCGAAGUUUCGAGAUUCGUUCGAGUACGGUAUUAAAUAUCGAGCGGUAUAUAUAUAUAUAUAUAUAUAAUAAAAAAAGAUGACAUCACCUCAUCUCUGCCUGUGUGAAGAGAAGGUGGGGAGAAGAAACUGUUUCCUUCUCCUCGUGCAAAAAAGAGAGACGAGGCGAUGUCGUCUCCUCGUUUCUUUUGCCUGCUUGGGGAGAAGAAACGUCACCUUGAUGACGCUUGGUUUCUUCUCCCUGCGACAUCGUCGAGGAUUCUUCUCCCUGCACGGAUGAGAAGUCGUCGACGACGCCAAGGCCUUGUCACCUCAAACAAGGAGGGAGAGCGGCGUCGGAUAUCCAGGUUCUCCUCUUCUUCUCCCUCUUCUUUCUUCUCCCUUGGCUAAUACCACUGGGUAGCGGGUGGUAACGAGGCGGAAACAACUCCAAUCGACGGUAGCGGGUGGUCUGCGUACCGGUCUACUGGCGGACCAAUACAUACCGUUCGAUAUUGGCAGUAUUAUUUGAAAUUAGAAACCUUGGUACAAUCCAUUAACUACUGCAAAAUUCCUACUAUGUUAUGUAAUUAUGUCAUUGCUACUUAAUUCCUACUAUCUCGUAUAACUAUAUGCCAUCUUAUUCUAUAAUCUUAAACACGAUUGCUCUGUAAAAUGUGGUUUCGUUUAGUUACAUGAAUGUUAACAUGUUGAACUUCUUUUUUCCUUUUAAAUUUAGCAUGACUGGGUAAAUUACAAGAAUUACUUCAUUAAGGAUAUUUUUAUUACGACUAAAACUAAGUGACUUUGCUUGGGAACACUAGGGUAACAUGAAAUUUUAGGGAAAGAAUUUCAUAUUAUCUGUCAUGUAAAAGUCCUUGGUAAGUUUUCAUACUUUCUGUGUUCAGUCACAAGUGCUCUGUGCAUCAAGAUUUUUAGGUUGGUUGAAUCUCCUGCUAGGAAAGCUUUAUGAAGGUGUUAAUUGACCUCAACUUCUCAUUAGUGCCAUUUAUAAGUAGAUGAGGUUGUCAACUAGUUGCUAGAGGUUGUUGGUGUCUCUGCUGCUAAUUAUUUCGUUGCACUUGCAACGGAAAAUCACUUUAUAAGAAAAUCAUCAAGCAGCCUUUUCUUUUGGUGCUUCUUUGUUGAGUGU
This 12012-nucleotide long non-coding RNA is filed under the name Musa acuminata (dwarf banana). RNAcentral's name for it is "long non-coding RNA (MACU_LNC002573)". The stretch from base 4320 to 4447 matches the Rfam family "MIR390 microRNA precursor family". Lineage: Eukaryota; Viridiplantae; Streptophyta; Magnoliopsida; Zingiberales; Musaceae. The record is from RNAcentral.